GGAUUUGGGUGCUUUGGGGUCACCUGGGGGGGGUUUGGGAUGGUUUUGGGGUAAAUUCGAGACAUUCCAGGUGGGGAACCGGCCGGGGAUGGAUUUUGGGGAUAUUUUGGGACAUUUUGGGAUAAUUUUGGGACGGUUUGGGGUGCUCCAGGUGGGGAAUUGGCUGGGGAUGGAUUUGGGGAUUAUUUUGGGAUAAUUUGAGAUAAUUUUGGGGUGUUCCAGGUGGGGAACCAUCUGGGGAUGGAUUUUGGGAUAAUUUUGGGAUAAUUUUGGGGUACUCCACAUGGGGAACCAUCUGGGGAUAGAUUUUGGGAUAAUUUUGGGAUAUUUUGGGAUAAUUUUGGGACAUUUUUGGGUGCUCCAGGUGGGGAACCGGCUGGUGAUGGAUUUGGGGAUAUUUUGGGACAUUUUGGGGACAUUUUGGGGUGCUCCAGGUGGGGAACCGUCUGGGGAUGGAUUUGGGGAUAUUUUGGGGACAUUUUGGGAUAUUUUUGGGACAUUUUGGGACAUUUUGGGGAUAUUUUGGGACAUUUUGGGCCAUUUUGGGCCAUUUUGGGGUGUUUUAGGUGGGGAACCGUCUGGGGAUGGAUUUGGGGAUAUAUUGGGGAUAUUUUGGGAUAUUUUUGGGACAUUUUGGGACAUUUUGGGGAUAUUUUGGGACAUUUUGGGCCAUUUUGGGGUGCUCCAGGUGGGGAACCGUCUGGGGAUGGAUUUGGGGAUAUUUUGGGACAUUUUGGGGACAUUUUGGGGUGCUCCAGGUGGGGAACCGGCUGGGCGUGCGCCGCGGCGCCGACGACUCGAUGCACCUGGUGGUGGACGGGCAGGACAUGGGGCCAGCAGCCACCGGCGUGGCCAAGGUAUGCCCGGGGCACCUGAGAUACACCUGAGAUACACCUGAGAUACACCUGGGAUACACCUGGGAUACACCUGGGGGCACCUGAGAUACACCUGAGAUACACCUGAGAUACACCUGAGAUACACCUGGGGGCACCUGGGUUACACCUGAAACACCUGGGAUACACCUGGGAUACACCUGGGGGCACCUGGGAUACACCUGGGGGCACCUGAGAUACACCUGGGAUACACCUGGGGGCACCUGGGGGCACCUGGGGGCACCUGGGAUACACCUGGGGACACCUGGGGACACCUGGGGGCACCUGGGAUACACCUGAGAUACACCUGGGGGCACCUGGGAUACACCUGAGAUACACCUGGGGGUACCUGGGAUACACCUGAGAUACACCUGGGAUACACCUGGGGGUACCUGGGGCACACCUGGGCACACCUGGGGGCACCUGAGAUACACCUGGGGGUACCUGGGGGCACCUGAGAUACACCUGAGAUACACCUGGGAUACACCUGGGAUACACCUGGGAUACACCUGAGAUACACCUGGGGGUACCUGAGAUACACCUGAGAUACACCUGGGGGCACCUGGGAUACACCUGGGGGCACCUGGGGGCACCUGAGAUACACCUGAGAUACACCUGGGGACACCUGAGAUACACCUGAGAUACACCUGAGAUACACCUGGGAUACACCUGGGAUACACCUGGGAUACACCUGGGAUACACCUGGGGGCACCUGGGGACACCUGGGAUACACCUGGGAUACACCUGGGGGUACCUGAGAUACACCUGGGGGCACCUGAGAUACACCUGAGAUACACCUGGGCACACCUGGGAUACACCUGGGGGUACCUGGGGCACACCUGGGCACACCUGGGAUACACCUGGGGGCACCUGAGAUACACCUGGGGGCACCUGAGAUACACCUGAGAUACACCUGGGGACACCUGAGAUACACCUGAGAUACACCUGGGGGUACCUGAGGAACACCUGGAGGGUGCCUGGGGGCACCUGAGAUACACCUGAGAUACACCUGAGAUACACCUGGGG
Chloebia gouldiae (Gouldian finch) is the source of this 1898-nucleotide long non-coding RNA. Lineage: Eukaryota; Metazoa; Chordata; Aves; Passeriformes; Passeridae. The record is from Ensembl.